RNAcentral lists this ribosomal RNA (518 nucleotides) under uncultured Acidobacteriota bacterium. RNAcentral describes it as "bacterial SSU rRNA". It matches the Rfam family "Bacterial small subunit ribosomal RNA", at positions 37 to 587 of the family's 1533-position model. Lineage: Bacteria; Pseudomonadati; Acidobacteriota. The record is from RNAcentral.
UGGCGGCGUGCCUAACACAUGCAAGUCGAACGAGAAAGUGGAGCAAUCCAUGAGUACAGUGGCGUACGGGUGAGUAACACGUGACUAACCUACCCUCGAGUGGGGAAUAACUUCGGGAAACCGAGGCUAAUACCGCAUAAUGUCUACGGACCAAAUGCGCAAGCAGCUUGAGGAGGGGGUCGCGGCUGAUUAGCUUGUUGGCGGGGUAACGGCCCACCAAGGCAAUGAUCAGUAGCCGGCCUGAGAGGGCGCACGGCCACACUGGAACUGAAACACGGUCCAGACUCCUACGGGAGGCAGCAGUGGGGAAUUUUGCGCAAUGGGGGAAACCCUGACGCAGCAACGCCGCGUGGAGGAUGAAGCCCCUUGGGGUGUGAACUCCUUUCGAUCGGGACGAUUAUGACGGUACCGGAUGAAGAAGCACCGGCUAACUCUGUGCCAGCAGCCGCGGUAAUACAGAGGGUGCAAGCGUUGUUCGGAAUUAUUGGGCGUAAAGGGUGCGUAGGCGGUGCGGUAAG